Molecule: long non-coding RNA, 568 nt
Filed under: Homo sapiens (human)
Lineage: Eukaryota; Metazoa; Chordata; Mammalia; Primates; Hominidae
Description: non-protein coding lnc-NOVA1-1:1
Source: RNAcentral
CAGCCACAAAGGGCCAGACAUGUAAGCUGAGGCUGUUGGUAGAGCUCAGGGAAGAGCAACCCAAGGUGAAGACACAAGGUGUGUACAAUUCUGGGCAUACCUCAACAACGGAAAGACUAGUGAAGCUGGCCCAGGAAUGGGGAACCGAACUGGCAGAUACAAGAUCAGUGAUGUCUUCUGGCUUUCAAGUUUUAAAACCUGUAUGCCCUUGAUCCUACUCCUUCCUCCACUAUUCACCUCCUUGGAAAUCUGAGAGACAUUCAUGUCCCAGGAGUGACCAGCUUGAAGAGAGCUGAAACCCAGCCCCAUUGCACAGCUGGCUCCCAAGGAUCUAUCUUGGGUAAGUAGUCUCCAAUUAUCCCAGUACCUUAGGGAGCUCAUUUUGGAUUUUGUAGGACAGGUGACAGUGUCAUUCACACAAGGGCUGGUUUAGGUCAUACUUUCCAUAUAAGCAACUGAGCAGCACUCUGAUCUCUUCUUCCCUCCCAAAUCUUCUCCAUUUAGCAUUUUUCUAUGAUACAAACACUGGCUCAAUUUUACACAUUUAUGACACUGGUAAGGAAAUUUG